AACUAAGCAUAUCAAUAAGCGGAGGAAAAGACAGACUAACAAGGAUUCCCCUAGUAACUGCGAGUGAAGCGGGAAAAGCUCAAAUUUAAAAUCUGGUGGUCUUUGGCCAUCCGAGUUGUAAUUUAGAGAAGCGUCUUCCGCGCUGGACCGUGCACAAGUCUCCUGGAACGGAGCGUCGUAGAGGGUGAGAAUCCCGUCUUUGGCAUGGACACACCAGGGCUUUUGCGAUGCGCUCUCGAAGAGUCGAGUUGUUUGGGAAUGCAGCUCAAAAUGGGUGGUGAACUCCAUCUAAAGCUAAAUAUUGGCGAGAGACCGAUAGCGAACAAGUACCGUGAGGGAAAGAUGAAAAGCACUUUGGAAAGAGAGUGAAACAGUACGUGAAAUUGUUGAAAGGGAAACGCUUGAAGUCAGUCGCGUCGUCCGAGACUCAGCCUCGCCUCGGCUUGGCGUACUUCUCGGCCCGACGGGUCAGCAUCAAUUUCGCCUCUCGGAUAAUGGCGAGGGAAAAGUGACACCUUUACGGUGUGUUAUAGUCUCUCGUCGCAUGCGAGGGUCGGGAUUGAGGAACUCAGCACGCGCCCUCGGGCGUCGGGGCUUUCGCCCACGAUACGUGCUUAGGAUGUUGGCGUAAUGGCUUUAAACGACCCGUCUUGAAACACGGACCAAGGAGUCUAACAUGCCUGCGAGUGUUCGGGUGGAAAACCCGUGCGCGCAAUGAAAGUGAAAGUUGGGACCUCCGUCGUGGAGGGCACCGACGCCCGGACCAGACCUUCUGUGACGGCUCUGCGGUAGAGCAUGCAUGUUAGGACCCGAAAGAUGGUGAACUAUGCCUGAAUAGGGUGAAGCCAGAGGAAACUCUGGUGGAGGCUCGUAGCGAUUCUGACGUGCAAAUCGAUCGUCAAAUUUGGGUAUAGGGGCGAAAGACUAAUCGAACCAUCUAGUGGCCUGGUUCCUGCGAGU
This 960-nucleotide ribosomal RNA is filed under the name Russula sp. 53792. RNAcentral describes it as "eukaryotic LSU rRNA". It matches the Rfam family "Eukaryotic large subunit ribosomal RNA", at positions 32 to 967 of the family's 3401-position model. Lineage: Eukaryota; Fungi; Basidiomycota; Agaricomycetes; Russulales; Russulaceae. The record is from RNAcentral.